GAAAUUUAUGAGGGGAAACAAAUGAAAUAGAUCUUUAUGUUGGUCAACUCUAGCUACUACUAUAUCUUGUGAACAAUUACAACAGGGUAACUACAAACAUGUUCGACACUGAAAAGGUCAAAGAAUUAAAAGAAGAGGGGAGAGAAUAUAAGAGGAAAUAGGAUAGCGUUCCCCCAACCCAAUCAGGAAAAAACAAACAAGAAUAGGAAAACUAACUGCUGCUCCUACCCUGUAUUUGUGACUUGUGGUUUUCACCGUAUCUUCACAAUCGGAAGGGAUGAUCAACACAAAGAAGUUAAAAAUGUCCAAAACUUUGUGACGAUCAUAAAAAGCAUAGAUUUUACAUCCCUUUCACACUCCUAUCUAGUGCUGGAGUUCCCAAGUGUAAGCUCAAGAUCAUCACUGAUGCACUCUUCAUGAAUUCUUUCUCCUUCCCAUGGCUUGACUACACCUUUCAUAUUGCUGCCAAAUGCAAACUCUGCUGAGAUAGCAUCCGACAUUGGUACAUCAGCUGUUUGGUCCAUACAAGGUCCAACUGCAGGUGAACACGUCCCACUUUGCCCAGGUGUCCACAUUCGAGACCCUCCAUUUGAUAAUGGCUCCUUAAAUCCAAAUGGAUUUGACGAGACAAGGCUGAAAGUGGGAGAUGAAGGCCCAUCCUGUGGAGUUUGAACACCAGAGAGCCAUCCUGAAUCCGGUGGGGUUUGGCGACCUGGACUAGGAGGGGUUGAGGAUGGCAAGAAGGGAUAAUGCUGUUGUAUCCAUGUAGAGUUGGCCGUGGGAUUUUCCCAAUUAUCAUUCAUCCUGGGAGUACUGGCAGUGGGAGAGCUCAAAGGUGGAGUCACAGGAGCACUUAUAGAACCUCCAGGAAUGCACAGAUGAUGGGGAAAAUUAGACAAGGAUGGUGAUGAGCCAGAUGACAGGUUCUUAAGCCAAGGAAUAAGAGAGUUCGGAUCAGAAUUAUUUUGGACAUUGGCAACAUAAUGGGAUGAGACCGGGCUAGGGAUAGAUGAUGAAACCGGACUCGGAUUAUAUGAAGCACCAGGGCUGAGUUGGUAAGAUGAACUGCUUACAGAAACAGAACCACCGAUAUCAAUGCGUGUAACUGGCUUGCAUCCCUUUCUGUAAGUAGUUCCAUCUUCUUCAACAAUCCAACCAGCCUCUUUACACAGAGCUUUCAAUACCUCGUUAUUAUCACAGUGCUUCGGUAGCUUAUAGUUACCAUACAUCCUUAAUCCGGCGAAGAUCUUAGCGGCGAUCGCCCUCCGCCGCCGCUCUCUCCGCUUAUUAUUCUCUCUCUCCUUCCA
RNAcentral lists this unclassified non-coding RNA (1307 nucleotides) under Hevea brasiliensis (rubber tree). Lineage: Eukaryota; Viridiplantae; Streptophyta; Magnoliopsida; Malpighiales; Euphorbiaceae. The record is from RNAcentral.